UGCAAGUCGAGCGGUAGCACAGAGAGCUUGCUCUCGGGUGACGAGCGGCGGACGGGUGAGUAAUGUCUGGGAAACUGCCUGAUGGAGGGGGAUAACUACUGGAAACGGUAGCUAAUACCGCAUAACGUCGCAAGACCAAAGAGGGGGACCUUCGGGCCUCUUGCCAUCAGAUGUGCCCAGAUGGGAUUAGCUAGUAGGUGGGGUAACGGCUCACCUAGGCGACGAUCCCUAGCUGGUCUGAGAGGAUGACCAGCCACACUGGAACUGAGACACGGUCCAGACUCCUACGGGAGGCAGCAGUGGGGAAUAUUGCACAAUGGGCGCAAGCCUGAUGCAGCCAUGCCGCGUGUAUGAAGAAGGCCUUCGGGUUGUAAAGUACUUUCAGCGAGGAGGAAGGCAUUGUGGUUAAUAACCACAGUGAUUGACGUUACUCGCAGAAGAAGCACCGGCUAACUCCGUGCCAGCAGCCGCGGUAAUACGGAGGGUGCAAGCGUUAAUCGGAAUUACUGGGCGUAAAGCGCACGCAGGCGGUCUGUCAAGUCGGAUGUGAAAUCCCCGGGCUCAACCUGGGAACUGCAUUCGAAACUGGCAGGCUAGAGUCUUGUAGAGGGGGGUAGAAUUCC
Molecule: ribosomal RNA, 623 nt
Filed under: Lelliottia amnigena
Lineage: Bacteria; Pseudomonadati; Pseudomonadota; Gammaproteobacteria; Enterobacterales; Enterobacteriaceae
Description: bacterial SSU rRNA
Rfam family: Bacterial small subunit ribosomal RNA
Source: RNAcentral